RNAcentral lists this ribosomal RNA (253 nucleotides) under uncultured bacterium. Its description in RNAcentral is "partial 16S ribosomal RNA". It matches the Rfam family "Bacterial small subunit ribosomal RNA", at positions 524 to 776 of the family's 1533-position model. The record is from RNAcentral.
UACGUAGGGGGCUAGCGUUGUCCGGAUUUAUUGGGCGUAAAGAGCGUGUAGGCGGCCAUGUAGGUCCGGUGUGAAAACUCGAGGCUUAACCUCGAGAUGUCAUCGGAAACCAUUUGGCUAGAGUCCGGAAGAGGAAAGUGGAAUUCCUGGUGUAGCGGUGAAAUGCGCAGAUAUCAGGAAGAACACCCGUGGCGAAGGCGGCUUUCUGGGACGGUACUGACGCUGAGACGCGAAAGCGUGGGGAGCGAACAGG